CACAGUACCCGGACGUCUUCACCAGGGAGGAACUGGCGCUGAGGCUCGACCUCAGCGAGGCCAGAGUGCAGGUUUGGUUUCAGAACCGUCGCGCCAAAUGGCGUAAGCGAGAGAAAGCCCUAGGCAGAGAGCACGCGCCGUUCCUUCAUCAUGAUCACGGUAAGCAGAGAAUACAUACGCAUGAAUACACUUGAAGAAUGAUAGGAGGAUGAUAAUCCCGCUAUAAAAAUCGAG
Molecule: unclassified non-coding RNA, 234 nt
Filed under: Melitaea cinxia (Glanville fritillary)
Lineage: Eukaryota; Metazoa; Arthropoda; Insecta; Lepidoptera; Nymphalidae
Description: misc RNA ENSMCXG00005000124.1
Source: RNAcentral